AUGAACGCUGGCGGCGUGCCUAAUACAUGCAAGUCGAACGAAACUUCUUUAUCCCCGAGUGCUUGCACUCACCGAUAAAGAGUUGAGUGGCGAACGGGUGAGUAACACGUGGGCAACCUGCCCAAAAGAGGGGGAUAACACUUGGAAACAGGUGCUAAUACCGCAUAACCAUAGUUACCGCAUGGUAACUAUGUAAAAGGUGGCUAUACUACCGCUUUUGGAUGGGCCCGCGGCGCAUUAGCUAGUUGGUAGGGUAAAGGCUUACCAAGGCAAUGAUGCGUAGCCGAAUUGAGAGGUUGAUCGGCCACAUUGGGACUGAGACACGGCCCAAACUCCUACGGGAGGCAGCAGUAGGGAAUCUUCCACAAUGGGCGAAAGCCUGAUGGAGCAACGCCGCGUGGGUGAAGAAGGUCUUCGGAUCGUAAAACCCUGUUGUUAGAGAAGAAAGUGCGUGAGAGUAACUGUUCACGUUUCGACGGUAUCUAACCGGAAAGCCACGGCUAACUACGUG
RNAcentral lists this ribosomal RNA (511 nucleotides) under uncultured bacterium. Its description in RNAcentral is "partial 16S ribosomal RNA". It matches the Rfam family "Bacterial small subunit ribosomal RNA", at positions 29 to 507 of the family's 1533-position model. The record is from RNAcentral.